UACGUAGGGUGCGAGCGUUAAUCGGAAUUACUGGGCGUAAAGGGUGCGCAGGCGGUUUUGUAAGACAGAUGUGAAAUCCCCGGGCUUAACCUGGGAACUGCGUUUGUGACUGCAAGACUUGAGUGUGGCAGAGGGGGGUGGAAUUCCACGUGUAGCAGUGAAAUGCGUAGAUAUGCGGAGGAACACCGAUGGCGAAGGCAAUCCCCUGGGCCUGCACUGACGCUCAUGCACGAAAGCGUGGGGAGCAAACAGGAUUAGAAACCCCUGUAGU
This 271-nucleotide ribosomal RNA is filed under the name uncultured bacterium. Its description in RNAcentral is "partial 16S ribosomal RNA". It matches the Rfam family "Bacterial small subunit ribosomal RNA", at positions 524 to 794 of the family's 1533-position model. The record is from RNAcentral.